Molecule: non-coding RNA, 30 nt
Filed under: Mus musculus (house mouse)
Lineage: Eukaryota; Metazoa; Chordata; Mammalia; Rodentia; Muridae
Source: RNAcentral
UUGGUGUGAGUCAAAAGGCAGAAGCGGCUC